ACCCCAUGAUUAGGGCAUUGCUUCAUCAACAUCUUGUAUCUCUCCCAAGCAGCAUAAAGAUGCUCAUCUGGAUGUUGUCUAAAGCUCAAAAAUUCAUCCCUAGUUU
Molecule: small nucleolar RNA, 106 nt
Organism: Neltuma alba
Lineage: Eukaryota; Viridiplantae; Streptophyta; Magnoliopsida; Fabales; Fabaceae
Source: RefSeq, a predicted model, not a curated record